Molecule: ribosomal RNA, 491 nt
Filed under: uncultured bacterium
Lineage: Bacteria
Description: bacterial SSU rRNA
Rfam family: Bacterial small subunit ribosomal RNA
Source: RNAcentral
GAUGAACGCUAGCGGCAGGCUUAACACAUGCAAGUCGAGGGGUAUUGGUUUUCGGACCAAGAGACCGGCGCACGGGUGCGUAACGCGUAUGCAAUCUACCUUUUGCAGAGGGAUAGCCCAGAGAAAUUUGGAUUAAUACCUCAUAGUAUAGUACUUUGGCAUCAAGGAACUAUUAAAGUCACAACGGCAAAGAUGAGCAUGCGUCCAUUAGCUAGUUGGUAAGGUAACGGCUUACCAAGGCUACGAUGGGUAGGGUCCUGAGAGGGAGAUCCCCCACACUGGUACUGAGACACGGACCAGACUCCUACGGGAGGCAGCAGUGAGGAAUAUUGGACAAUGGGCGCAAGCCUGAUCCAGCCAUGCCGCGUGCAGGAUGACGGUCCUAUGGAUUGUAAACUGCUUUUAUACAGGAAGAAACACACCCUCGUGAGGGUACUUGACGGUACUGUAUGAAUAAGGACCGGNUAACUACGUGCCAGCAGCCGCGGUAA